GACGUAGGGUCCAAGCGUUGUCCGGAUUUACUGGGCGUAAAGAGCGCGUAGGCGGUCUGUUAAGUGCACGAGUGAAAUCCCUGGGCUCACCCCAGGAACUGCUCUGCAUACUGGCAGACUUGAGGGUCGAAGAGGUUUGUGGAAUUCCCGGUGUAGCGGUGAAAUGCGUUGAUAUCGGGAGGAACACCCAUGGCGAAGGCAGCAAACUGGUCGGCAUCUGACGCUGAGGCGCGAAAGCGUGGGUAGCAAACAGG
This 254-nucleotide ribosomal RNA is filed under the name uncultured bacterium. Its description in RNAcentral is "partial 16S ribosomal RNA". It matches the Rfam family "Bacterial small subunit ribosomal RNA", at positions 524 to 776 of the family's 1533-position model. The record is from RNAcentral.